RNAcentral lists this transfer RNA (71 nucleotides) under Sphingomonas sp. So64.6b. RNAcentral's name for it is "tRNA-Thr". It matches the Rfam family "tRNA". From Rfam's summary of the family: Transfer RNA (tRNA) molecules are approximately 80 nucleotides in length. Their secondary structure includes four short double-helical elements and three loops (D, anti-codon, and T loops). Lineage: Bacteria; Pseudomonadati; Pseudomonadota; Alphaproteobacteria; Sphingomonadales; Sphingomonadaceae. The record is from RNAcentral.
UUGGAUAGCUCAUCUGGUAGAGCAACAGACUUGUACUCUGUGUGUAGCGGGUUCGAAUCCCGCUCCAAGCA